Molecule: ribosomal RNA, 253 nt
Filed under: uncultured bacterium
Lineage: Bacteria
Description: partial 16S ribosomal RNA
Rfam family: Bacterial small subunit ribosomal RNA
Source: RNAcentral
UACGUAGGGGGCAAGCGUUGUCCGGAAUUAUUGGGCGUAAAGAGCGUGUAGGCGGUCCGGUAAGUCAGCUGUGAAAGUCAAGGGCUCAACCCUUGAAUGCCGGUUGAUACUGUCGGGCUAGAGUCCGGAAGAGGCGAGUGGAAUUCCCGGUGUAGCGGUGAAAUGCGCAGAUAUCAGGAAGAACACCCGUGGCUAAGGCGGUUCUCUAGUACGGUACUGACGCUGAGACGCGAAAGCGUGGGGAGCAAACAGG